This 73-nucleotide transfer RNA is filed under the name Megalops atlanticus (tarpon). RNAcentral's name for it is "tRNA-OTHER". The record is from RNAcentral. Lineage: Eukaryota; Metazoa; Chordata; Actinopteri; Elopiformes; Megalopidae.
AUUUCUGUAGCAUAGUGGUUAAGGAGAAGGACUCGUAACCAAAAGGUUGCUGGUUCGAUCCCCGCUGGGAUGC